UAAAAGAUAGGCUAUACUUCCAUAAGCCAAGAGGCUCAUAACCUCUCCAAAAGGUUUUCUUUCUUUUAA
RNAcentral lists this transfer RNA (69 nucleotides) under Myrsidea sp. ADS-2020. RNAcentral's name for it is "tRNA-Met". The record is from RNAcentral. Lineage: Eukaryota; Metazoa; Arthropoda; Insecta; Psocodea; Menoponidae.